GAUGAACGCUAGCGGGAGGCUUAACACAUGCAAGUCGAGCGGGAUUAGUAGCAAUACUAUGAGAGCGGCGGACGGGUGCGUAACGCGUAUGCAACCUGCCUUAUACAAAGGGAUAGCCCAUGGAAACGUGGAUUAAUACCUUAUGGGACUAACGGAUCGCAUGGUUUGUUAGUUAAAAUUUCGGUGGUAUAAGAUGGGCAUGCGUCUGAUUAGCUAGUUGGUGGGGUAACGGCCCACCAAGGCGACGAUCAGUAGGGGUUCUGAGAGGAUUAUCCCCCACACUGGUACUGAGACACGGACCAGACUCCUACGGGUGGCAG
Molecule: ribosomal RNA, 320 nt
Filed under: uncultured Bacteroidota bacterium
Lineage: Bacteria; Pseudomonadati; Bacteroidota
Description: bacterial SSU rRNA
Rfam family: Bacterial small subunit ribosomal RNA
Source: RNAcentral